UAGCUAGUUGGUGGGGUAAGGGCCUACCAAGGCGACGAUCGGUAGCUGGUCUGAGAGGAUGGCCAGCCACACUGGAACUGAGACACGGUCCAGACUCCUACGGGAGGCAGCAGUGGGGAAUAUUGGACAAUGGGGGAAACCCUGAUCCAGCAAUGCCGCGUGUGUGAAGAAGGCCUGAGGGUUGUAAAGCACUUUCAGUGGGGAGGAGGGUUGAUAGGUUAAGAGCUGAUUGACUGGACGUUACCUACAGAAGAAGCACCGGCUAACUCCGUGCCAGCAGCCGCGGUAAUACGGAGGGUGCGAGCGUUAAUCGGAAUUACUGGGCGUAAAGGGUGCGUAGGUGGUUGAAUAAGUUAUCUGUGAAAUUCCUGGGCUUAACCUGGGCAGGUCAGAUGAUACUGUUUAACUCGAGUAUGGGAGAGGGUAGUGGAAUUUCCGGUGUAGCGGUGAAAUGCGUAGAGAUCGGAAGGAACACCAGUGGCGAAGGCGGCUACCUGGCCUAAUACUGACACUGAGGCACGAAAGCGUGGGGAGCAAACAGGAUUAGAUACCCUGGUAGUCCACGCUGUAAACGAUGUCAACUAGCUGUUGGAUAUAUGAAUAUAUUUAGUGGCGC
RNAcentral lists this ribosomal RNA (616 nucleotides) under uncultured Legionella sp. RNAcentral's name for it is "bacterial SSU rRNA". It matches the Rfam family "Bacterial small subunit ribosomal RNA", at positions 242 to 849 of the family's 1533-position model. The record is from RNAcentral. Lineage: Bacteria; Pseudomonadati; Pseudomonadota; Gammaproteobacteria; Legionellales; Legionellaceae.